CUAUGAGCAAGUAAUUCCUACAGCAGUUUCCUAAAUUCCACAGCUGUAACUAAAAGGUACUUUAAAAAAUACUUUUAGCUUCACGAAUAAGGAAUGGAUUAAGUUUCUGCAAAUAUUUAAAAUCUUUGAAGUCGUUUGCAAGCCCCAUUCUUCUGCUUGGCUGCUGAGGGCCACGCCUGUUCCUGAGGAUUACCUCUCCCAGACCCCAACCCUCCUUCCACCACACCUCAGCCCUGGGAGGCCUGGUGACCAGCUGGGAGUGCCGGGCUCCAAGGCUGAGAGGUGUUGCUCAAUCAGCUGAAGUGUCCUAGUCCAUGAAAAGGGUACGAUUUCUCUUUGCCGAAGAGACAAUGCGGGAACCUUAGGAGAAAACAGCAGGAAAAGACAUUGCUGCCCAGGUGGACACACAUCUCCUCCAGGUGUUUCUCUCCAGGAUCUUGCUACUUAUUGAUGACACCGUAUCAAGGCGCCAGAGUCCAAAUGGUCAUCAUAAGAAAAACUGCACCUAACUUCCACAGCCUCCUAGGAGGCCCAGAGACAUCACUGUACUUGCCUGCCAUCCUAUGUGGUGCUGGAAAAAAAAAAAAAAAAAAAAAAAGAGGGGGCAAGAGAAAUAAAACAAGUUUCCAUAGUAAAACAGCACAUAGCUCAUCUUCUGCCGUGGUUACGAUUAGCACUGAAACGUGACUGUGAGCUCUGACUGUGUUGUGACAACCAUGUUAUCAUCAAUCUUUCUUCCCUGUGGCCACACAAGGCUCAGGAACUAGGAUUUUAGUGACAGUGGCAUCUGGCUCUUUCUCAGUACCCCUGUUUUCUGUUGUUGUUGUUUUUGUUUGUUUGUUUUUUACUAUAACUCCUGCCUUUCCUAAGUAUAAAGGGAAAGGAAAUAUUGGUAUACAAUAUCUAACAUUUUUUCAACAAGUGAAUGAAUGAAGGGAGGUGACUGGGUAGAAAAUUCCUAUUUAAAAACAAAAUUCCUUUACAGACAGGUAGAUCUUGUCCUGCUCAACACAUAUGAGGGUCUGGCUCUGCAGAGAUGGGCUUCAAGGCCGGGUGCGGUGGCUCACGCCUGUAAUCCUAGUACUUUGGGAGGCCAAGGCAGGCGGAUCACCUGAGGUCAGGAAUUCCAGACCAGCCUGGCUCACAUGGCGAAACCCCAUCUCUACUAAAAAUACAAAAACUAGCUGGGAGUGGUGGCGCGUGCCUGUAGUCCCAGCUACUCAGGAGGCUGAGGCAAGAGAAUCUCUUGAACAUGGGAGGUGGAGGUGCUGAGAUCCUGCCACUGCACUCCGGCCUGGGCCACACAGCAAGACUUGGUCAAAAAAAAAAAAAAAAAAAGGGAUGGGCUUCAACAGGAUAGAAGCUCACUGCUCUUUCAUCUAAACCCAGUCCCGAGGAAAGGAGUCAGGAGCUGGUUUGGUGGCUCCACAAGCAUCAGGGAACCAGCCUUCUUCAAAUGUAUUAUUCCACCAUCCUACAUUCCCGGCUUCCAUCACAGGGACCCAGGACUGCUUGUACCCCCGCAUCCCGUCUGCAUCUCCACCAAACAGGAAGGAGAAGACCAUGCCUUUUAAAAAUAGCACAGAGCACUCUCACCAUUGCAUUUCCUUGGCCAAAAUUAGACACAUAGCCACACUUAAAUGUGACAUACAAGGACCUGGCCACCCAGCCUGCUGCCAUUAAUGCAUGUUUCACUGAACACUAUAAUCCUCACUCAAGCAGAGGCUGCUGGAUGCCACCGUCCCAAAGUAGGUACCCCACAUAUGCUGCACGGUUCCAGUCAACCCAGUGCUUACCUAACCAGCAAAUCUAGAUGUUGCCAGCCAACACAACAUUGAGACACUGCGAUUUUCUGACAUGAGACCUACACAGUUCUCAGUCUUGGCUUUAAAAACCGACUGCAUUUGGCCUCCCUUGAACCAAAUCCCCCAGAACCUAGAAUCUGUGCUAGAUUGAGUUUCUUGCUCAAGGAUAUAACUUUCCCACUCAUUGCACCAUCUGUACUCUCUUAGUCUUUCUAUAUUUUUUUCUUAAACAAAUGAAAGGGAGGCUGAGGAAUAUAGUCUUUAGGUGAGUCACCCCUGAGUACAGCUAAAAAGUGAGGGCUCUAUAAGGACGGAAUAGAUAUGAGGGACAAAUAGCAGUCUCUAUCACACCCAUAAAUUGGUUGAAAAAAAAACAUGGUGGCUCACUCCUGUAAUCACAUCACUUUGGGAGGAUCACUAGAGGCCAGCAGUUCAAGAUCUGUCUGGGCAAUGUGGCGAAAUCUCAUCUCUACAAAAAAUUUUUACAAAUUAGCCAGUCACAGUGGUGCGCACCUGUUGUCCUAGCUACUCGGAAGGCUGACGUGGGAGGAUUGCUUGAGCCCAGGAGUUCAAGGUUGCAGUGAGCCCUGAUCACACCACUGCCCUCCAGCCUGGGUGACAGAGCGAGACCCUGCCUCUACCAAAAAAAAAAAAAAAAGUAGAGUUUAAAGUCAAAAUAACCAUAGCCCUGCUCCCUCCCCAGCAGGCUUCAGAUGGAUUCAUGCAGUGAUACUGUGGAUUUGAAACACUCUUACCUAGAUCCUAAGCAGUCAGAUGACCAAGUGACAUCUGGGUAUAAAUGAAUAGUGCCAUGGACCUGUGCACUUGUCACCACACAUUCAACACCAGCAGCCCACUUGGGCCUGAGCUAGCAAGUAGGACUGUGUCUCUUUAACCCCACAAACUUCAGGUCAGUAAAAAGAGCACUCGACUUGGAGUCAAGAUCUCCAAGGUGAAUCAGAGCUCAGCUGUCUAGUAAGUGACUGAUUUUGUGUAGGUGCCAGAAACGGAAAUAAUAAUAAGGCCAAUGAACGCACGAUGAGAAGUUAUCAUGGACCAGGCACUGUGCUAAGCUAAUGUGCAUUGAUUCUUUAUUCCCCAUAACAAUCCUACAAUCUAGAUCAUAAUGAUCUUACUGCCAUUCUUCAAAUGAGAAAAUUAAGGCUCUGAAAGUAAGGAAUGACCAAUGGAGCCAAUAAAGUAGUAGCAUGAGAAUUUAAAAUCAGAGCUCAGCCUGGGCAACAUAAUGAGACCCUAUCUCUACAAAAAAUUUAAAAAUUAGUGAGGUAUGAUGUCUCAUGCCUGUAGUCCCAGCCACUCUGGAGGCUGAGGUGUGAGGAUUGCUUGAGCCCAGGAGGUUAAGGCUGCAGUGAGCCAUGGUUGUGCCACUGCACUCCAGCCUGAGUGACAAGUGAGACCCUGUCUCAAAAUAAAAUAAAAUAAAAUAAAAUAAUGAAACCAGGGCUCUGUGGCCAGACUUCUUGCUCUUAACAAACCUAUGCUGCUUCUAAUGAAGAAGAGAAGAUACGUGCCAACUUUAAGGUGUAACUGGGCUGGCACACAGGUAGACAGUACAUAGUGAUCAGUGGUGUGGGAGAGGGCUUACAAGGUCAGGUGGGUAGGGGACACUCCCUAGAUGAAGAAUGAAUAGAAAUCAGCCAGGCAGACAUGAGGAGCAAUGUGUCUACAGCCAGGAAGCAGCACGCGUGACAGCAUGGCUGCAUCAACUGCACAGUGGCUGCUGGGCCCCAGACAUUGUGUUUGCUAUCACGGGGAAUGGAAGCGGAAGGUGGAAAAAGAUAGUUCAUUUUUCAGCGAGGAAAACAUUCUGUAGAAAACCCCCAAUGGAUGUUUCCUUACAUCUUGUUGGUUAUGUUGGUUAGAACUAAGUCACAAAGGUGCUCUGAGCUGUGAGGAAGGACAGAGCCAUGAGCAUAGAACUAAGAGGAUUGGGAACUGGAUGUGGCAGUGUGCACUUGUAGUACUAGCUACUCAGGAGGUUGUACCUGGAGUAAUAGCUACAGGAGAUUGGAGUGGGAAGAUUACUUGAGCACUGGAGUUUGAGACCAUCCUGGGCAACAUAGAGAGACCUUGUCUCAAAAACAAAACAAAACAAAACAAAACAAAAAACCCCGAGACCAAAAAGUGAACAAACAAAACACACACACACACACACACACACACACACACACACACACACACACAAAAGGGAAUGGGAUCUCCAAACUUGGCUGAGAUCAACCAUAAUCAUUCUCUUGGGCUGGGCCGACUGCAACCUGAACAAAAUUGUGGUUGUGUUGGCCAGGAAGAAAUGAGGGCUGCUCGGUGGAGAGGGGACCUACAGGCUCAGCUCACAGUCUUUCAAACAGGUCCAAACAAGAAGUGAUAAGGAACAGAACUAGCAGAUGAGUUGAGAACAGCAUGGUGAGACUAUCAGGAAGCAGAAGUGAAAGUACUUAGUGAGCUACCAGAAGUGAGGGCUGAGGGAGAAGGAUUCUUAGGCGAUUCCCAAAUGUAUGACUUGGGUGACUGAGAUGUCGGUGAUUUAAUUAAUUGGGGGCGGAGGGUGAGGACUGGGGAAGGCAGGCUAAUGAGAUGCACAAAAUGAUCUUAUGACUUAGGAGACAAUCUUUUGCUUGGGGGAUCCUUCAGAGACUUUCCUGUCUCUUGAUCUGUUGGGCAAAUCAAAUAAAGAAAGCAAGUAAAAGCCUUUUCGUAUAAGCCUCAUAUAAUGGUAAAUGUCUUCAUCUCUUAAAUAGAAAGCAGCUGGGGUGGCUGCCUGAUCUUAUUUCCCCAGUGGCUGUGUCUAUGUGACCUGACCCCAACAGACAGGGUGUCAUGGAAGCCGCGUCAUAUCAAUGGCAGUGCCCAAGGGACCAUGAACCCCUGCUUCUGGGAUCCCAAGACCUGACCUGGUACUGCCUCCUUGAGGCAUGGUGAGUCCCGUCCUUCCUUCAAUUCUAUAGUCCACUCCAAUAAACUGCCUUCCAAGAAGUUAAUUUUUUUAUCAAGUUAAUAGUGAUUAUUUUUGUAACUUAAAACCAAAAGAACUCUAUUUAAGUCCUUGAUAAGGUCUUUAAAGGUAUACAGUAUGCCACAAAUUCCCACAUGGGGUACUCAUGCCAACAGUGUUUCCUUAGAAUCUUAUCAUGAGCAAAUGAGAAAAAAAUUGACUGUGAGACAUUCUACAACUGGCACACACUCUUUAAACCAAGUUAUUAUCAUGAAAAGUAAACAAAAGAAUGAGGGGAAAUAGAUUAGAAGAGGCCAGAGACAUAAUAACCGAAUAGAAUGUGAUUCGAUCAUGGGUCACUGAAAAUAAGAGAGGAAGAAAAGAUACAUUUCGAAAAACAUUUGUGGGUCAUUUACAAAAAUUCAAAUUUGGACUGUAUAUGUGAUGGUAUUAUAAAAUUAGUGUUACUUUUCUUAGAUGAGACAGCCCACUGGGGUUAACAGAAAAUGUUCCUAUUCUUAGGAAAUGCAUGCUGAAAUAUUUAGAAUUAACUGUCAUGAUGUCUACUUUCAAAUGGUUCGGAAAAAAAUUAUAUAAUGUGAAAAUAUUAAAAAUUGGUGAAACUAGGUUGAAGGUACAUGAACGCU
Molecule: long non-coding RNA, 5405 nt
Filed under: Homo sapiens (human)
Lineage: Eukaryota; Metazoa; Chordata; Mammalia; Primates; Hominidae
Description: HSALNT0025160
Source: RNAcentral